RNAcentral lists this ribosomal RNA (497 nucleotides) under uncultured bacterium. RNAcentral describes it as "partial 16S ribosomal RNA". It matches the Rfam family "Bacterial small subunit ribosomal RNA", at positions 28 to 507 of the family's 1533-position model. The record is from RNAcentral.
GAUGAACGCUGGCGGCGUGCCUAAUACAUGCAAGUCGAGCGAACAGACGAGGAGCUUGCUCCUCUGACGUUAGCGGCGGACGGGUGAGUAACACGUGGAUAACCUACCUAUAAGACUGGGAUAACUUCGGGAAACCGGAGCUAAUACCGGAUAAUAUAUUGAACCGCAUGGUUCAAUAGUGAAAGCCGUUUUUGCUGUCACUUAUAGAUGGAUCCGCGCCGCAUUAGCUAGUUGGUAAGGUAACGGCUUACCAAGGCAACGAUGCGUAGCCGACCUGAGAGGGUGAUCGGCCACACUGGAACUGAGACACGGUCCAGACUCCUACGGGAGGCAGCAGUAGGGAAUCUUCCGCAAUGGGCGAAAGCCUGACGGAGCAACGCCGCGUGAGUGAUGAAGGUCUUCGGAUCGUAAAACUCUGUUAUUAGGGAAGAACAAAUGUGUAAGUAACUAUGCACGUCUUGACGGUACCUAAUCAGAAAGCCACGGCUAACUACGUG